CUCUUACCCUCACUAUGGCUAUGCUGAUCUGCCCCUGGACACCCUGCCACUAGACCCUGAACUCCACGAGCCCUACAUCCCUGACUUGACCUAUGACCCAAGACAGGUCUACCCUGAACCGCUCUAACAGGAUAAUUAAUCAGAAAUUCGAAAAGAAAACAAAGGAAUGGCCAAAUCAAAGGAAGAAAGACUGGAGAGACAGGUGAAGGAGGAAGGAGACUGAAGGAGUGAAUCACCAAUGGAAUCAGCCCUUUCCAUGGGUGGAAAAAAAAUCCCAUUUGGCAAUCAAGAAUCAAAAGAGGAGAGGAGACAGCAUGAGAGCAGCAGAGCAAGGGAUAACAGGAGAACAUGUCUUUAGAAGCUGCAUAAUCUAGAAAAUAAUCUUAUAAUUUAAAGUAAUUAAGUAAAAUCUCCCCCUCGUCCAAGUGUGGCUCCCCCAGUAAAACGUGGCCAUUUCCACCACUGGACUUAACCAAACUAAACUAGUAUUUUAUCCUUAAAGGCUUUACAAGUUAGACAGAAUUCUAAUUUGCUGAAAUGUUUCAACAUCACAUGUAACGCUGGUAUAUUAGUUGCGACAUACAAGGAUUUUUCCCCACAUGGGAAACACUCAUGUUAUUCAGUAUUAAGUCCAAUCUCGCGUCAAAUUAUACUUAACUAUAACCCCCAGUUUAAUCAACUUUUUACUGGCGUCACAAAAACACUUGUUAAGCAUUUAACAGGAACAGAAUAUUUUCUCUCUCCCAAUUCUACCAAAUGCAACCUGUGUAUCCCAGCCUUUAGCCGCUGUUUUUUUAGAUGUCUCCUCUGUGUAUUUGAACAGUGCACAUGUCCAGGGGUGUCCAUGUGUGAUUGUUGCAUGGUAGUGUAUCGUGUACUAAUAGAAAUAUUCUUCGCCUUACAUAAUGAGAAAAAAAUGACAUGAGUUCUACAAGCUGCCCGCCGCCUGGAGAACCUCAAUGCGGAACUGGACUACAAAUCCCAGCCUCACUUUCACUAAGCGGAUAUUCUGUUAAAAUGUCCACAGAAAAUGCACUACAAAUCCCCUGGUCAUCUUCGGCAUCAGACUUCAAAUCCCAGCAUUUUCAAGUCAUACCCAAUUAAACCUACUCACGGUUGUUGUGGCAACACACAACAACAGCAGCCUUAGCCUGCAAUGUUAAAAAAGCACAACUACAAUGACUUAUCACUUGCUGAGGCAAUCUACCGCAGCU
This is a long non-coding RNA of Micropterus dolomieu (smallmouth bass), 1214 nucleotides long. RefSeq lists it as uncharacterized. NCBI's taxonomy places the organism in Eukaryota, Metazoa, Chordata, Actinopteri, Centrarchiformes, Centrarchidae. The transcript has 3 exons. The record is from RefSeq and is a predicted model, not a curated record.